ACAAUUACAAUUACAAUAUAUCGCAUCCCUUGACAUGCGAUAGCCCAUAAUAUUAAAACCAUUCAUGGGUGGGUAAUUGGAUAUUGACUUAUUUUGGGCUUAUAAUUUUAUGGGCUAGACUCUUAAAUGGAGCUAGAAUUAAAGAAAAAUCAAAUGAAGAAGUUAGCGAGAAAACGGGGGAGAAUUCUUCGACAAGAAGAACAAGUACUUCUGAUCUGCUAUGGAGCUUUCCUCUUCUACUCUAUUUUUUAAGCAGUUCAUAUCACCAUGGAAACUGGUAUAUGAUAAUUUCUCACUAUAUGGAUUACACACUAAUUCUCCCUGUUUAUGGAGUUAUAUUAACUUAUACAUAUACAAAUGUCUUUUUAUUUAAGAUAUUGUACCGUCUGUAUUUCAUGAAUUCUUCUCAAGUGAUGCCAUUUUUUCCUGUGUAUUAUCAUGCGUUCAUUAAUCAUUAUUUAUGUCUCGCCAUUCUUAAGGUGGUAUGGCCGAUAGUGACCUUGUGUUGAAUGGUGUUUAAGCUAUUGUACCAAUAUGGGAAAAUAACAAAUAUGUGACUAUGUUUAAUGAAUAUUAAUCUCUCCCCACUUUCAUAGAAAACUCUGUCUGUAGUUCUUUGAGUAUCAAAUGUCAUAGGAGAUGAUGAUAGAUUAAUGUAGAGCGAGAAAGAGUGUGUUCAGUUUUAGUUUCUUGGACCUUAGGCACCUAAAAAUACUUCUUGAUACAUGGUUAGUAGAACCAUAUAUUAUGGCCAUACUUUAACCUUACUACCAUCAGAGAAAGUUAUGCUGCUUGAUCUUCAAUUCGAUUUUUCUGUUUUUCGCAUAUUUUCAAUUUUUACAUGCACACCGGUUUUUUGGAUCAGAGUGGAUUGCUAUCUUGGCUUGCUCCCUCUCAGUUACUGGGCCAAUUAGAUAAGAAGAAUGGUCACAGACGACGGUGGUUCUGGUACUCGUUUGUUAUUGUCUCUGUAUUGACAAUCUUUUGUUUUAUUACUUACUGAGGUAAAACUAGAUUAGUCCUCGACAUAUAUACAUUUCACUAGUAUCACCUACCAUCUUACAAUUGAUCUACCUUCAUUAUUAUUACCGUUACUAGAUUUAGAAGAAAGCUAUAGCAAACAUAUAGAAUCAUUGUUUCAUACCAAUAGUGAUGUUUCUCUUCAGUUCCUUUCAUUCGUGCUCUCUGUAGAUUUGUGCUAAUAAUCUGUUCUCACACUCGUGUUCUACGCUUCCACAGUUCCAGUAGGAUGCUAUCUGGCUUCCAUUUGGGCCCCUUUUAGUAUGUGUAUCUAUCGCGUAUAUGUACCCGGUGUCUGUAACACUAAUGUUGUAUCAACUUACUAUACUUUGAAAUUGAAGCGGAGCUGGAACAUGUCGAUGUGGACCACCUACUGAAGGCAAGGAAUCAUCUGAAGAAGUGAAAAGCCUAAGCAACUGUAUGUAUCCGUAUAAAGCAAGGUAGAGAAUAGAGAUAAAGGCCAUCACAGUACUCUUCAGAGUAAAUUUGUCAUAGCAAGAGUGCAAGUUUUGACUCUAUCAUCCCUCUUAAUAACAUCCGUCUGUUGCUAAAUAGUCCA
Molecule: long non-coding RNA, 1579 nt
Filed under: Arabidopsis lyrata
Lineage: Eukaryota; Viridiplantae; Streptophyta; Magnoliopsida; Brassicales; Brassicaceae
Description: long non-coding RNA (ALYR_LNC000812)
Source: RNAcentral